RNAcentral lists this ribosomal RNA (420 nucleotides) under uncultured bacterium. RNAcentral describes it as "bacterial SSU rRNA". It matches the Rfam family "Bacterial small subunit ribosomal RNA", at positions 355 to 772 of the family's 1533-position model. The record is from RNAcentral.
UAAGGAAUAUUGGUCAAUGGACGCAAGUCUGAACCAGCCAUGCCGCGUGGAGGAUGAAGGCCCUCUGGGUUGUAAACUUCUUUUAUGGGGGACGAAACCCCGGAUUUUUAUCCGGCCUGACGGUACCCCAGGAAUAAGCACCGGCUAACUCCGUGCCAGCAGCCGCGGUAAUACGGAGGGUGCAAGCGUUAUCCGGAUUCACUGGGUUUAAAGGGUGCGUAGGCGGGUUUGUAAGUCAGUGGUGAAAUCCCGAAGCUUAACUUCGGAACUGCCGUUGAUACUACAGGUCUUGAAUACUCGGGAGGUGAGCGGAAUAUGUCAUGUAGCGGUGAAAUGCUUAGAUAUGACAUAGAACACCGAUUGCGAAGGCAGCUCACUACAGAGUCAUUGACGCUGAGGCACGAAAGCGUGGGGAUCAAA